Juglans microcarpa x Juglans regia is the source of this 145-nucleotide long non-coding RNA. RefSeq lists it as uncharacterized. NCBI's taxonomy places the organism in Eukaryota, Viridiplantae, Streptophyta, Magnoliopsida, Fagales, Juglandaceae. The transcript has 2 exons. The record is from RefSeq and is a predicted model, not a curated record.
AGUAGCCUUUGAACGUACAGUAGAAUGAAUUCUUGAUUGUACAACAACAGAUAUUGUACAGCAUGCAGAGCAGGAGGAUCAUUCGUACAUAGAGAACAUUACAAAUAAGAUUCAAGAUAAACAGUGAAUGAUUGUUUUGGGUGCA